CUGUAGAGAUACAGCUUCCCUUCGGGGCAGAGUGACAGGUGAUGCAUGGUUGUCGUCAGCUCGUGUCGUGAGAUGUUGGGUUAAGUCCCGCAACGAGCGCAACCCCUAUUGUUAGUUGCCAUCAUUCAGUUGGGCACUCUAGCGAGACUGCCGGUAAUAAACCGGAGGAAGGUGGGGAUGACGUCAAAUCAUCAUGCCCCUUAUGACCUGGGCUACACACGUGCUACAAUGGUUGGUACAACGAGUUGCGAGUCGGUGACGGCGAGCUAAUCUCUUAAAGCCAAUCUCAGUUCGGAUUGCAGGCUGCAACUCGCCUACAUGAAGUCGGAAUCGCUAGUAAUCGCGGAUCAGCACGCCGCGGUGAAUACGUUCCCGGGCCUUGUACACACC
RNAcentral lists this ribosomal RNA (390 nucleotides) under uncultured bacterium. RNAcentral describes it as "bacterial SSU rRNA". It matches the Rfam family "Bacterial small subunit ribosomal RNA", at positions 998 to 1391 of the family's 1533-position model. The record is from RNAcentral.